This 632-nucleotide ribosomal RNA is filed under the name uncultured bacterium. RNAcentral's name for it is "bacterial SSU rRNA". The stretch from base 1 to 533 matches the Rfam family "Bacterial small subunit ribosomal RNA", at positions 338 to 873 of the family's 1533-position model. The record is from RNAcentral.
CCUACGGGAGGCAGCAGUGAGGAAUAUUGGACAAUGGGCGCAAGCCUGAUCCAGCCAUGCCGCGUGCAGGAAGAAGCAUCUAUGGUGUGUAAACUGCUUUUGUACAGGAAGAAACACUCCCUCGUGAGGGAGCUUGACGGUACUGUAAGAAUAAGGACCGGCUAACUCCGUGCCAGCAGCCGCGGUAAUACGGAGGGUCCGAGCGUUAUCCGGAAUCAUUGGGUUUAAAGGGUCCGUAGGCGGUUUAAUAAGUCAGUGGUGAAAUCUGGUCGCUCAACGAUCAAACGGCCAUUGAUACUGUUAGACUUGAAUUAUAAGGAAGUAACUAGAAUAUGUAGUGUAGCGGUGAAAUGCUUAGAUAUUACAUGGAAUACCAAUUGCGAAGGCAGGUUACUACUUAUGGAUUGACGCUGAUGGACGAAAGCGUGGGGAGCGAACAGGAUUAGAUACCCUGGUAGUCCACGCCGUAAACGAUGGAUACUAGCUGUUCGGAGCAAUUNUGAGUGNGUAGAGAAGUAGAUAAGUAUACCACCGUCGGGUAGGUACGGUUACGUCGAAGAAGUAGAACGUAACGAAAGAAAGUUAGUACGGACGUGAGACGUAGACGACGGACGACGACGAGGGAGGAGGAG